GCUGGGAUUACAGGCGCCCGCCACCAUGCCCAGUUAAUUUUUUGUAUUUUUAGUAGAGACGGGGUUUCACCAUGUUAGCCAGGAUGGUAUCAAUCUCCUCACCUCGGAGAUCAACUUUUUAAGCUACCAUAUAUGAGUGAGAUACAUGUGAUAUUUGUCUUUCUGUGCCUGGCUUAUUUCAUUUAACAUGACCUCCAGUUCCAUUCAUGUUGCUGCAAAUAACAUAAUUUCAUUCUUUUUUAUGGUCAAAUAAUUGCAUAGACAUUUCUCCAGAUACAUACAAAUGACCAACAGCUAUAUGACAAGGUGCUCAGUGUCACUAACCAUCAGCAAAACUCAAAACCACAAUGAGGUAUUAUUUCACACCUGUUAGGAUGGUUAUUAUCAAAAAGACAAGAAGAGGUAACAAGUGUUGGUGAGAGUGUGGAGAAAAGGGAACCCUUGUACACUGUUGGUGGGAAUGUAAAUUGGCACAGCCAUUAUGGAAAACAGUAUGAAGGCUCCUCAAAAAAUUAAAAAUCGAAUUACCAUAUGAUCCAGGAAUUCCAUUUCUGGGUAUAUAUUCGAAGAAAAUGAAAUUACUAUCUUAAAGAGAUAUCUGCACUCCGUGUUCACUGUAGCAUUAUUCACAGCAGCCAAGACAAGGCAGAACCUAAGCGC
RNAcentral lists this long non-coding RNA (660 nucleotides) under Homo sapiens (human). RNAcentral's name for it is "LHRI_LNC948.1". Lineage: Eukaryota; Metazoa; Chordata; Mammalia; Primates; Hominidae. The record is from RNAcentral.